CUAAGGUAGCGAAAUUCCUUGUCGGGUAAGUUCCGACCCGCACGAAAGGCGUAACGAUUUGGGCACUGUCUCAACAACAGACUCGGUGAAAUUGUAAUUCCGGUGAAGAUGCCGGAUACCUGCGACAGGACGGAAAGACCCCAUGGAGCUUUACUGUAGCUUGACAUUGGGUCUUGGUACUACAUGUACAGGAUAGGUGGGAGGCUUUGAAACCAGGACGCCAGUUUUGGCGGAGCCAUCCUUGGGAUACCACCCUUGUAGUACUGGGACUCUAACCAUAGGCCAUGAAUCUGGUCUUGGGACACUGUCAGGUGGGCAGUUUGACUGGGGCGGUCGCCUCCCAAAAGGUAACGGAGGCGCUCAAAGGUUCUCUCAGUACGGUCGGAAAUCGUACGUAGAGUGUAAAGGCAAAAGAGAGCUUGAUUGCAAGACAUACAGGUCGAGCAAGGAUGAAAAUCGGACUUAGUGAUCCGGUGGUUCUGCGUGGAAGGGCCAUCGCUCAACGGAUAAAAGCUACCCUGGGGAUAACAGGCUUAUCUCCCCCAAGAGUCCACAUCGACGGGGAGGUUUGGCACCUCGAUGUCGGCUCAUCACAUCCUGGGGCUGUAGUAGGUCCCAAGGGUUGGGCUGUUCGCCCAUUAAAGUGGUACGCGAGCUGGGUUCAGAACGUCGUGAGACAGUUCGGUCCCUAUCCGUCGCAGGCGUAGGAAAUUUGAGAAGACCUGUCCUUAGUACGAGAGGACCGGGAUGGACGUACCUCUGGUGUACCAGUUGUCCUGCCAAGGGCAUGGCUGGGUAGCUAUGUACGGAAUGGAUAAGCGCUGAAAGCAUCUAAGCGCGAAGCCAACUUCAAGAUAAGAUUUCCCACCGCAAGGGUAAGACCCCAGAAAGACUAUCUGGUUGAUAGGUCGAAGGUGUAAGUGCAGCAAUGUAUUUAGCUUAUCGAUACUAAUAGGUCGAGGACUUGACCAA
This 972-nucleotide ribosomal RNA is filed under the name human gut metagenome. RNAcentral describes it as "bacterial LSU rRNA". It matches the Rfam family "Bacterial large subunit ribosomal RNA", at positions 1951 to 2925 of the family's 2925-position model. The record is from RNAcentral.